RNAcentral lists this ribosomal RNA (1352 nucleotides) under uncultured bacterium. RNAcentral describes it as "bacterial SSU rRNA". It matches the Rfam family "Bacterial small subunit ribosomal RNA", at positions 28 to 1381 of the family's 1533-position model. The record is from RNAcentral.
AUUGAACGCUGGCGGCAUGCCUUACACAUGCAAGUCGAACGGCAGCACGGAGCUUGCUCUGGUGGCGAGUGGCGAACGGGUGAGUAAUAUAUCGGAACGUACCCUAGAGUGGGGGAUAACGUAGCGAAAGUUACGCUAAUACCGCAUACGAUCUAAGGAUGAAAGUGGGGGAUCGCAAGACCUCAUGCUCGUGGAGCGGCCGAUAUCUGAUUAGCUAGUUGGUAGGGUAAAAGCCUACCAAGGCAUCGAUCAGUAGCUGGUCUGAGAGGACGACCAGCCACACUGGAACUGAGACACGGUCCAGACUCCUACGGGAGGCAGCAGUGGGGAAUUUUGGACAAUGGGCGAAAGCCUGAUCCAGCAAUGCCGCGUGAGUGAAGAAGGCCUUCGGGUUGUAAAGCUCUUUUGUCAGGGAAGAAACGGUGAGAGCUAAUAUCUCUUGCUAAUGACGGUACCUGAAGAAUAAGCACCGGCUAACUACGUGCCAGCAGCCGCGGUAAUACGUAGGGUGCAAGCGUUAAUCGGAAUUACUGGGCGUAAAGCGUGCGCAGGCGGUUUUGUAAGUCUGAUGUGAAAUCCCCGGGCUCAACCUGGGAAUUGCAUUGGAGACUGCAAGGCUAGAAUCUGGCAGAGGGGGGUAGAAUUCCACGUGUAGCAGUGAAAUGCGUAGAUAUGUGGAGGAACACCGAUGGCGAAGGCAGCCCCCUGGGUCAAGAUUGACGCUCAUGCACGAAAGCGUGGGGAGCAAACAGGAUUAGAUACCCUGGUAGUCCACGCCCUAAACGAUGUCUACUAGUUGUCGGGUCUUAAUUGACUUGGUAACGCAGCUAACGCGUGAAGUAGACCGCCUGGGGAGUACGGUCGCAAGAUUAAAACUCAAAGGAAUUGACGGGGACCCGCACAAGCGGUGGAUGAUGUGGAUUAAUUCGAUGCAACGCGAAAAACCUUACCUACCCUUGACAUGGCUGGAAUCCCCGAGAGAUUGGGGAGUGCUCGAAAGAGAACCAGUACACAGGUGCUGCAUGGCUGUCGUCAGCUCGUGUCGUGAGAUGUUGGGUUAAGUCCCGCAACGAGCGCAACCCUUGUCAUUAGUUGCUACGAAAGGGCACUCUAAUGAGACCGCCGGUGACAAACCGGAGGAAGGUGGGGAUGACGUCAAGUCCUCAUGGCCCUUAUGGGUAGGGCUUCACACGUCAUACAAUGGUACAUACAGAGCGCCGCCAACCCGCGAGGGGGAGCUAAUCGCAGAAAGUGUAUCGUAGUCCGGAUUGUAGUCUGCAACUCGACUGCAUGAAGUUGGAAUCGCUAGUAAUCGCGGAUCAGCAUGUCGCGGUGAAUACGUUCCCGGGUCU